This 120-nucleotide transfer RNA is filed under the name Gemmatimonadaceae bacterium. RNAcentral's name for it is "tRNA-OTHER". Lineage: Bacteria; Pseudomonadati; Gemmatimonadota; Gemmatimonadia; Gemmatimonadales; Gemmatimonadaceae. The record is from RNAcentral.
CGGUGGCGAACCCGGACGAGGGACACGACCUGCAUCAGCCGCAGCAUAUCCGGCUCCGGGACACCCAAAUUGACCUGCUUCGGGAGCAGGAGGUCGCUGGUUCAAAUCCAGUCGCCCCGA